CAAAUAGAUACCCCGGUAGUCCACGCCCGUAAACGAUGUCAACUAGUUGUCGGGGAUUCAUUUCCUUGGUAACGCAGCUAACGCGUGAAGUUGACCGCCUGGGGAGUACGGCCGCAAGGUUAAAACUCAAAGGAAUUGACGGGGACCCGCACAAGCGGUGGAUGAUGUGGGUUAAUUCGAUGCAACGCGAAAAACCUUACCUACGCUUGACAUGCCAGGAACUUUCCAGAGAUGGAUUGGUGCCCGAAAGGGAACCUGGACACAGGUGCUGCAUGGCUGUCGUCAGCUCGUGUCGUGAGAUGUUGGGUUAAGUCCCGCAACGAGCGCAACCCUUAUCCUUAGUUGCUACGCAAGGGCACUCUAGGGAGACUGCCGGUGACAAACCGGAGGAAGGUGGGGAUGACGUCAAGUCCUCAUGGCCUUAUGUGUAGGGCUUCACACGUCAUACAAUGGUCGGUACAGAGGGUCGCCAACCCGCGAGGGGAGCCAAUCCCAGAAAACCGAUCGUAGUCCGGAUUGCACUCUGCAACUCGAGUGCAUG
Molecule: ribosomal RNA, 541 nt
Filed under: uncultured bacterium
Lineage: Bacteria
Description: bacterial SSU rRNA
Rfam family: Bacterial small subunit ribosomal RNA
Source: RNAcentral